Molecule: ribosomal RNA, 381 nt
Filed under: Strombidium sp.
Lineage: Eukaryota; Ciliophora; Spirotrichea; Strombidiidae
Description: partial small subunit ribosomal RNA
Rfam family: Eukaryotic small subunit ribosomal RNA
Source: RNAcentral
AUUCCAGCUCCAAUAGCGUAUAUUAAAGUUGUUGCAGUUAAAAAGCUCGUAGUUGGAUUUCUGGGAGGGUGCCGAUGUCCACUUAACGUGUGCGCAGCGGCGCCCUCUCAUCCUUCUGUUAGCGUCUCUUGGCAUUCAUUUGCUGGUGGCGGGCUCAGAUAUUUUACCUUGAGAAAAUUAGAGUGUUUCAGGCAGGCUAGGCCGGAAUACAUUAGCAUGGAAUAAUGGAAUAGGACUACGGUCUCUUUGUUGGUUUGAGGGACUGCAGUAAUGAUUAAUAGGGAUAGUUGGGGGCAUUAGUACUUAACUGUCAGAGGUGGAAUUCUCAGAUUUGUUAAAGACUGACUUAUGCGAAAGCAUUUGCCAAGGAUGUUUUCAUUA